GGGAGCUGGCUGAGCGCGGCUCAGCUCGGCUCGUGUGCGGCUCCCGCGGGGCCCUUCGGCCCUGGCCGGCCUCUUUGCGCAGGGCGCGAUGGCGUGCGGGCUGGGGUCGUGGCUCCUGGCCUUGUCCUUGGCCGCGGGGCCGGCAGCAGUGACUGGCCAGAUGGUCUUGGAGCAACACACCAGGGAUCUGGCUGUGCGAGAGGGAGAUGGAGUCACCUUCCAGUGCAGCAUGAGUGGAGACAGUAUGAGCAGCUAUGAGAUGUUCUGGUACCGGCAGGGAGCACGUGGCACUCUGGACUGGAUUUAUGAGCCAGGUGGUGCCUAUGGAGAAGGUUUCCAGGAUCGCUUUAAGGGAUCAGUGGCAAGUUCCCAGAACAGAUUCACACUGCAGAUCCAGGCAGCAAAGCAAGGGGAUGAAGCAGUGUAUUACUGCGUUGCCAAGCUCACCCUGGAGCAGCUUUGCAACAGGUUGGACCUAAAACUGGCUGCUGGAGAAUGCAGACUUCUCAGCAUUUCUUUAUAAAAGCUGCAAACCACAUAUUGGUGUCACACAAUGACAGGUGCAGGAAACAGUUCUUUUGCGGGUUUGCAGUAAAAGGCUGUGAAGAAGUGUUGUUGUUGGACUAGACACCAUUUAAGAUGUGGAGGAUCUAUUGUGGGAACUUGAGAGGCUGUAUCAUGUAUUGCAGGCUAGCGCGCUUUGCCUGGGCUCCUGUCCAUUACGACUCAGAUUUUCCUCCAUGGCUUGGUUGGAUCAUGGUGCUAUGGUAGGGUAGCUCACAGAAGUAUUGUAGUGGAUAGAGACAGACUGUUUAGGAGAGACAGGCUGGGAAAGUGAGGAGGAUGAGUUGCCCUUCCUAGGAAAGAGCAGCUGGAAUGCGUGGAGUACAACCUUGGGAGGUACAGUGAGCCAGCUGGUAGCCUAUGGGUAGGUUUAGAGGGCAGAUCAACAUUGUGGCAGGUGGUUACUACGCAGUGCCUGUCCAGGAUCAAGAACUAGGUAAUGCCUUCUUCAAAUAACUGGAAGGAGCCUCGUGUUCCCUGGCCCUGGUCUGCAUGGGGUAGGUGAACAGUGCCUAGUCUUGGCUGCUGGGAUAGUACAAGCAAUUAAGAAACCUUCUGCAGAGCAUGGAUGAAAACUUCAUCAGAAGAACUGGUGGUGGAUGUGAAGGUGUGGGGCAGCCAUGGCUGCAGUGAUGAUGCAGUGUUUGAGCUCAGGAUCCAGAGAACAGGGAGCAAUGCAAAAGGCAGGAUCAAAGCCCUGGACAUCAGGAGAGCAGAAUUCACACUCUUCCAGGAUUUUCCUAGAAGAAACCAAUGGAAUAUGAUCUUGGACAGAGGAGGGGUCCAGGAGAGCUGCUCGAUUUUAAGAGUUCACCUCCUUCAGGCUCAAGAAUGUUUUCUCUUGAGGAAGCAGAAUGUCAAGCAAAGCUGAUGUGGGAGGGUUCUUCUUUGAUUCAUUCUUUGCAGGCAAUACUGGCUUUUCAGGAUUUCCAGGUCUCUUGACCCCAUUCAGAGUGUCCCCAGCCAGGAAGAUGUAUGUCAGUGGAGGAGGAUUAUACCAAGGCAUAGUUAAAGAACCUGGAGGGACACAACUGUACGGGGACUCAUUAGAUGGCCCAUUAGUGCUGAGGGAGAUGGCUGAUGUGAUUGUGAGGUGACUGUCGGUAGUUGUUGAUAUUUCACGAAGAUUGGGAGAGGUUUCUAUGUACUGACAGAAAAGACAAUUCCAUUGUCAAGAGCGAGGAUCUGAGGACCUUGGAGUCCUGAAGGCUUGUCUUGCUACUAGAGGCUGAGGUGACUAAGGCAUAUUCAAUACCUUUGACCAGGUCCCACACCCCUUUCUACAAUGUCCUGCAUUUUCCUUACCCUUGUUGUCUGUUCAGGCCUCCUGGCAUUUUUACCUGACUCCUUCCUCAUUGGCUUGGGCUGUUCUUGAACUCAGCACUACUGAGACUGUGGACUACUGCAUCCACUGCUGUGCUCCCCAGCACAGGAAAGACAUGGACCAGAGCAAAUACCAUGGCAGGCCAUGAGGACAAGAAUAGGAGCAUCUGACAUACAAGGAGAGCCUGAGAGAACUGAGUUAGUUUAGCAUACCAAAAAGGUGCUGAUGGAGGAUUUAUUAGUGUGUGCAUAAAUGCCUGAUGUGUGAAGCAAAGAAGAUGGAGCCAUAGUUUUCACAGUGUUACCCAUUUAUAGAAUAUGGGACAACAAACACAAAAUGAAAUGCCAUAUAUAUGCCAGAUUUACUGAAGUCUAAGUACACAACAUCCACAGCCUUUCCCUCAUCUACUAGUUGGGUCACCUUGUCCUAGAAGGAGGUCAGGUUGGUCAAACUGGACCUGCCUUUCAUAAACCCGUGUUGACUGGGCCUGACCACAUUUCUCUUGUAUGUGCUGUGUGAUGUUACUCAAGAUCAUCUGCUCCAUGACCUGCCUCGGCACUGAGGUUAUUCUGACAGGUCUGUAGUUCCAUGGAUCAUCUUUCUGGCCCUUUUUGUAGAUGGGCAUUAUAUUAGCCAACUUCCAUCCAACUGGGACCUUCUCCAUUAGCCAAGAUUGCUUUUAGAGAAUGGAAAGUGAUUCGGUGAUUACCUCCGCCAGCUCCCUCACGCCCUUGGGUAUAUCCCAUCUGGCCCCAUACUCUUGUGGCUGUUCAAGCCGUGUAGCAGGUCACCAACCAUUUCCCCUUGGAUUACUGGGGCUUCAUUCUGCUCCCCAUCACUGUCUUCUGGCUCAGGGGCCUGGGUACCUAGAACACAACUGUUCUGACUGUUAAAGACUGAAGCAAAGGAGGCAUUUAAUACCUCAGCCUUUCCCUCAUCUUCUGUUACUAUGUUUCCCUACGCAUCCACCAGGGGAUGGAGAUUCUCCUUAGCCAUUCUCUUCUUGCUAAUAUAUUUAUAGAAACUUUUCUUGUUGUUUUUCACAGUGGUGGCCAGGCUCAGCUCUAGUUGGGCUUGGGCCCUUCUGAUUUUCUCUCUGCAUAACCUCACAGAAUUCUUGUACUCCUCUGGAGUGGCCUGCCUCUCCUUCCAAAGGUUGUAAAUUCUCUUUUUAUUCCUAAGUUACAGCCGCAACACUCAUUCAGCCAGGCUGGCCUUCUUCCCCACUGCUUCAUCUUCUGCACAAGGGGACAGCUGCUCCUGCACCUCUAAGAUCACCUUCUUCAAGAGAGACCAGCCUCCCUGGAUGCCUUUGUCCUUCAGGACUGCCUCCCAAGGAACUCUGCCAACCACCCUCCUAAACAGGACAAAGUCUGCCCUUUGGAAAUCCAAGGCAGCAGAUCUGCUGACCACCCUCCUGAUUUCUCCAGAGAUAGUAAACUGAAUCAUUUCAUUGUCACUGUGCCCAAGGGACUUCCAACCAAUGCAUUGCCCACAAACCCUUCUCUAUUUACAAAGAUCCAGUGGGGCUCUUUCCCUGGUGGGCUCACUAACCAGCUGUGUUAGGAAGCUCUCAUCCAUGCACUGCAGGAGUCUCCUAGACUGCUUCCUCUCUGCUGUGGUGCCCAGUAAUAGGAUGAGGGGCAACAGGCACAGAGUGAAGCCUAGCCGGUUCCAGCUGAAUAUGAGGAGAAACUUCUUUAUUUUGAGGGAGACAGAGCACUAGAACAGGCCACCCUGAGAGGUGGUGGAGUCUCUUUCUCUAGAGGUACUCAAAACCUGCCUGGAUGCAUUCCUGUGCAAUCUGCUCUAGGUGAACAUGCUUUAGCAGGUGGCUUGGACUAGAUGAUCCCCCUGAGGUCCCUUCCAAACCCAACCAUUCUGUGAUUCUGUGAACUGUUUUACCACGGUCUAUGGGGAAUCAGUGCUCUGGCACCUAGAGCAUUUCAAGUAGCUAUAAGGAAGAACUGUUUUACAGUGAGGACGAUGAAACACUGGAACACAUUUAUCCGGAGAGAUGGUAGAUACCCAAUACCUGCGCUCCUCCUCUGCCGACGGCCCUGCCCCGCGGCCUCUCCGCACCGCCCCUUGUCCUGCCCCCAAGGGGCCGCGGCAGCGGGGGCCGGGCCGGGUGUGGCGGAGGCGGGAGGAGGCGUCGGCGCUGGCCCGGAGGGGCCGAGGCGGCGGGGCGGGCAGGAGCUGGCUGAGCGCGGCUCCGCUCGGCUCGUGUGCGGCUCCCGCGGGGCCCUUCGGACCCGGCCGGCCCCUUUGCGCAGGGCGCGAUGGCGCUCGGGCUGGGGCCGUGGUUCCUGGCCUUGUCCUUGGCCGCGGGGCCGGCAGGGGUGUGUGCGCAGCUGAGGCUGGUGGAGGCCGGCGGAGGGCUGCGAGCGCCCGGGGACUCCGUGCUCCUCUCCUGCCGCGGAUACGGAUUCGCUUUCGGGACUUAUGGAGUUCGGUGGUACCGUCAGGCACCCGGUGGCAGACCCGAGUGGCUGUCCUAUAUCAGCUCGGAUUCCUCACUUAUUAAAUUCGGGCCAGCUGUGGAGGGUCGAGCCACAGCAUCCCGGCAGAAUUCCCGGUCUGAGGCAUCUCUCAGCCUGCGCCUCCUGCAUCAUGGGGACUCUGCCCGCUACUUCUGUGCUGUUCACACGUAAAGAGGAAAUCCAGCUGAGCUUGAACACAAACCUCCCACCAGGCUCCCAGCUCUUUGCCUCAGAACUUUAAGGGAGGUUCAUCUCAUAGGUGUUCAGGAUGGUCCCCAGAGAGUCAAGGAGUAACAGCAUACACCUUUCAAAUGUUUAAUUCUAACAGGCACAUCCUAGCCUUUUCCAUCCCCAAAUGAGCUCUAACCCUCCUGCAUAACAUCUUCUGAUGUGCCAUGAAGACCCUUUUUCCUCUCGCCCUCACAAACUGAUUCACCUUUUGAAACAAGUUCUGCUGUUUUUGUUAGUUUCUAGUAGGGCCAGUUCCCAGACAUGGCACCAUUGGUGAGAUGUGUGAACAGCCCUGCUGUGCUUUGGGCACAGCUCAGAUCAAGUCAGUCCAGCCCACGAGUUUUGCUGCCUGCGAUGUGAACAGAGGAAAUAUGGAAAGUACGGGGGGUCCUUUGGGAGCUCAACAGGUUCCCCACUCCCUUUAAUAAUGGGCCCGCAUUUUCCCUACCCUCAUUUCUCUGUGCAGACCUCCUGGCAUUUUUAACUGACACUUUGCUUGAUGGGAUGCACGGUGCUUGAACUCAGCACUGACGAGACUGUGGACUCCUGUGCCCACUCCUGGUCUCCCCAGCACGGGAAAGACAUGGACCAGAGCAAAUGCAAUGAGGGGCCAUGAAGAUGAGGAAAGGAGCAUCUGACAUACAAGGAGAGCCUGAGAGAACUGAGUUUGUUUAGCACAGAGUAGAAAAGGCUGUGGGGGGAUUUGUCAGUGUGUGUAAACUCCUGAUGCAUGCAGCAAAGAAGAUGAAGCCAGAGUGUUCUCAGUGUUAUCCAGUGACAGGACAUGUGGCAAGAAACACAAAAUUAAAAGCCAUUUAAAUGUAACCAAAUGGGUUUUUACUGUUGAGGUGCCUGAGAAACUGAAAGGGCAAUGUCUCAAACAUUGUGUCAAAACCAGUUCUGCAACAUCCAGCCACAGGAGAUGGGUCAUUCAGGAUAAGGUGAAUUAUGAUUUACAUGUCAACAACAAGCUAAGGAGCCAGAGACAAAGGCUGGCUGGCUGACACAUGUGGUGGGGGUGUGUUGAUGGACAGGUAGCUCUGUGUUCUGAUAGACCCAGCAUGGCACUGAGGGAGAAGACCUGAGACUGCUCAAGACCCUUCAAGGUGGCCUGAGACCCUUCAGGACUUUUUCAUCUUUCACGAUCACCCCCUAGUGAAACCUGCGCAAAAGACCAAAGAUUAUGCAAGCAGUUGAUCCAGAGGUCUAUAAAAAGCCCACCUGUACAAGUACUGGUGGUGUACCCACCACCCUGAGGACCACUCUGCCUACCAGUCUCACGCUGGGAACCAAACCAGACUCUGGAGGAUGCUGCAAACCGCUGGAUCCAAGACUACAAGCCCCAUGAUAUACAACAUGGAGCCAUAAGGGUGGUGAAAUCACUCUCUUUUUUAUUUCUUUCCGACAGCAGCUCACUUACUGCAUCAGCAGUGGGACAGGACACAGAAUCAGAAGAGUAAAAGUGCAAAAAUUUCAUAGAAUCAUAGGAUGUCCUGAGUUGGAAGGGACCCACAAGGAUCAUCAAGUCCAACUCCUGUCCCUGCGCAGGACAACCCCGCAGUUCACAGCAUGUGUCUCAGGGCAUUGUCUAGUUUCUUCUUGAACACUGUCAGGCUUGGGGCUGUGACAUCUUCCUGGGGAGUCUGUUCCAGUGCUCCACGAAUUUGUGUGUUGAGACAAAUUCCCAGCUUCCCCCUGGCAGGUGGUGUUUAGCCAUUUCCAGGAAAGCAGGCUUCAUCAUGUGCAAUUCUUAUUUCAGAUUAGCAUCUCCCUUCCUCCUUAUUUCCCUCAGCUUUUAUUACUUCACACAAUGCCAUGCAGUACAGAAUAUCCCUUUGGCUGGUUGUUGUCAACUGUAGAGCGGGUGAGCAACAUGAGAAACACAGGUGACAUUGACACUGUGUAAGCUCUGCUCAGGAACAGCUAAAACAUCAUUCCAUUUGCACCACAGAUUUUGUGAGAAAACACUGCAGUUUCCCAAACAGGCUACUAUGUAGAAAGUUAACUCCAUCCCAGGCAGACCCAGUGCGCCUACUAUAGCUGACCUGGCUUUGAGCAGGAGGUUUAAACUGGACUUUUCCAGAGGUCUGUUACAGCCAUUACACUUCUACUAUCUUUUGAGCAAUACUGGAUCCUCUUUCCUCCCAUUUCGUACACUCUUUUUGAAGAGAAUGAAAGGUCUAGGGAACCCCACAUGUCCUACCAUGCUGGGACAGCUCUAAGUGUCCCAGUCCACCUUAGGCCACCCUUGGCCUACAUCCCCCUGCAUCUUUUCCCAGCCUCAAGCCUCCAGUGUCAAUGGGCUCCUAUAUCCUCUUGUCCUGGUUUUGUUAAAAACAAGAGCAGUUUCUCUUUUAGAGAUUUUCCUUUCAGCUCAAGUCUUUCUGGUAACUGCACUUUUCUGAAGUUGGAUACGUGUUUUGGUAGACAUACCAAAGGAAUGCAAGGUUGCUGAUAAGGAUGCACAUCCCGUAAGUGAGAGGGGCAAGGAGGAGUGACCUGACCAACUAAGUAUUGCAUCCCAUUAACGUGGUACUUUAUAUAAAAGUGGGAAAUCAUGAGGACCUCGUCCCUUUUUCCCUUCUUCGACUAUGGCAGACAUCUGGGAAGGACCCUGCCUGCCAUCCCUGCAAAUCUGAGGACUAGUGACAGACCCUGCAUCCUUAAAUCCAGUUCCAGUUUUCUGCAGAGUCCAACCCAGUACUUCCGGGCAUGGGCUCCACUGCUGCUGGAGCAGUGCUGAGCUUUGCUGGGGAAUUGAAGACUGGUUUUGUAUAGUUUGUAUUAUUUUCUCUAUUUUGUUAGUAGCAUUAGUAAAAUAUUUUUAACUUUUUCCAA
Non-coding RNA from Columba livia (rock pigeon), 7440 nucleotides. Lineage: Eukaryota; Metazoa; Chordata; Aves; Columbiformes; Columbidae. The record is from the annotation of a RefSeq genome assembly.